Molecule: long non-coding RNA, 2111 nt
Filed under: Limulus polyphemus (Atlantic horseshoe crab)
Lineage: Eukaryota; Metazoa; Arthropoda; Merostomata; Xiphosura; Limulidae
Description: uncharacterized LOC111084198, transcript variant X3
Source: RNAcentral
AUGUUUUAUUUCUACAUCAGUUUCUGUGUUGUUUCUACAGAUUUAACUCUGCCAGUCAACAUAUACUUUUAGUUGGAUCUACCUCUCCAUUCUAUCACUAUAAACCCGCAAAUAUACGCCCUCUGGUGCUAGAAAAUGUGGAGAGACAUCGUGCUCAAUACUAUGUUUAGGUUUGCCGACGUUGAAGUUCCCAACUUUUCGAUCUAGUCCACAGUCCUGACUAUCUUAUUUGUAAUAUAUAUUUAUGGAGGAAGUCAACUACUUAAUACGAACUUCCAGUUUGUAUGAUGAUGAUAAUCUUGUUAAAUCUCUGCUCGUUUCUUUAUUACAUACUUUAUAAGAAAACACCAUUCAGAAUUAUGUUACUACAUUAGGGAUAUUUUAAUAUUUAUUUGGUCUUUUCCACAAUCUCUAUGGUUGUUAAUAUAUAGAGUUCGUUUGAGCACAUAGCUCACCUGGUAUCUGUAAAACAUCUGGUAUAGUCGCGUGUUUGUGUUUUCAUCACUUUCCAACCAAGCCUCACCCCUGCUUGUAUUAUUAACAACCAAAUCUGUACUUUUUUAUUUACUCUUAACAAUAUUGCUUUAUAUGAAAUAAUUUUCUUUUCUUUAGUUUCCUUAUCCUUGUUUAAAAUCUCAUUUUGGAAAUACUUAUACAAACAGUAGUUUAGGAACACGUGAUUUUCAAGGUUUUGUUACCUUACUUGGAUUGUAGCAGCACGAUUUAAUAAGGGUUUUACAUUGCUUAGAUUGUAACAGCACAUGACUUGUGGUUUUGUUACGUUAUUUAGAUUGUAACAGCACAUGACUUGUGGUUUUGUUAACGUUAUUUAGAUUGUAGCAGCACAUGAUUUAUCGAGGUUUUGCUGCUUUAUUAAGAUUGUAGCAGCACGAUUUAUCGAGGUUUUGUUACGUUAUUUAGAUUGUAGCAGCACAUGAUUUAUCGAGGUUUUGUUAAGUUAUUUAGAUUGUAGCAGCAUAAGACUUGUCGUGGUUUUGUUACGUUAUUUAGAAUGUAGCAGCACAUGAUUUAUCGAGGUUUUGUUACGUUAUUUAGAUUGUAGCAGCAUAUGACUUGUCGUGGUUUUGUUACGUUAUUUAGAAUGUAGCAGCACAUGAUUUAUCGAGGUUUUGUUACGUUACUUCGAUUGUAGCAACACAUGACUUGUCAUGGUUUUGUUACAUUAUUUAGAAUGUAGCAGCACAUGACUUGUCGUGGUUUUGUUACAUUAUUUAGAAUGUAGCAGCACAUGACUUGUCGUUUUGUUACGUUAUUUAGAUUGUAGCAGCAUAUGACUUGUCGUGGUUUUGUUACGUUAUUUAGAAUGUAGCAGCACAUGACUUGUCGUGGUUUUGUUACGUUACUUCGAUUGUAGCAACACAUGACUUGUCGUGGUUUUGUUACAUUAUUUAGAAUGUAGCAGCACAUGACUUGUCGUGGUUUUGUUACAUUAUUUAGAAUGUAGCAGCACAUGACUUGUCGUAGUUUUGUUACGUUAUUUAGAAUGUAGUAGCAAGCAGAAAUCAAGUUUGUAGACAUCACAUAUGUUGGACGUACAAAAAAUGUGUAGAUUUAUAGAUGUAAUAGAAUGUCUAGCUGGAGGAGCAGUGAAAGUAACAUCACGGGUAUUCGUAUAUAUACAUCACACACCACCAGCUAAGUCUUACAUCUCAAGACUUCUUGUUUUAUGACCACAUGUGGCAUCACCCAUCAAAUUGUGUAUAAUAUCAACCAGCUGGCCUGGUGAGUGUUAAUAUUGAGCAACAGACAGCCUCUAUAACUGAAAUGUUAAUCAGCACUUCAAACCUUUAAUGGACUGAUAAAGAAUGGUGUGGUUAGACUAUUACUAGGUCUUGUAGAAUAACUUCACUAAAUGUACAUUUCCACAAAUCUGAUUGAUGUUUAGUUUUAUUUAUCGUUAUGUUUAUUGUAUUCUGUCAUAUCACCGGCAAUUGAUUAUUUAGGACCAAAACAAAUAUUUUCAAAUGUUGCUAUUAGACGUGCCGAAUAAACAGUGUGAACUUAUUUUAAUGAUUAUACAGGAAUAUUUUUACAAUUAUCAACUAUUUUGUAGUUUCUGAAAGUUGUGAAAUAAAUUUUCCAACAGAAAA